AAUCAACGCUGGCGGCGUGCCUCAGACAUGCAAGUCGAACGAUUAAAGCUCUCUUCGGAGAGUGCAUAAAGUGGCGCACGGGUGAGUAACACGUAAGUAAUCUACCUUCGAGUGGGGAAUAACGUCCGGAACGGACGCUAAUACCGCAUAACGCAGCGGCAUCGCAAGAUGACAGUUGUUAAAGAUUUAUCGCUUGAAGAGGAGCUUGCGGCAGAUAGCUUGUUGGUAAGGUAACGGCUUACCAAGGCUACGAUCUGUAUCCGGUCUAAGAGGACGGUCGGACACACUGACACUG
This 295-nucleotide ribosomal RNA is filed under the name uncultured bacterium. Its description in RNAcentral is "partial 16S ribosomal RNA". It matches the Rfam family "Bacterial small subunit ribosomal RNA", at positions 32 to 321 of the family's 1533-position model. The record is from RNAcentral.